AACAGUUCACAAAAUUUAAGCAUAAUCAGAAGUUCAGAAACUGUUUAAUGACAUAAAAAUUACUAAAUCACAUAAUAAAAUUACAAAUUAAAACUGUUUAGUCCCAAUUAAACCGUUUAGGCGGUUUUGCGACAUAAAAUUUCACACAAUAAAAGCCUCACAAAAGUUAAAAACAAUUAAAGUUAUAAAGCACAUUCUGCUUGUUCAGGGGAUCAGAACAUAAUCUAUGCUUGUUCAACAAAGAACUUCACUUCAACACCAUGAGUCCAUGAUCACCUUCUCUGAACCAGUCCAUCAUCAACAACAAGAAUUUAGUUGGUUUCUAUAGAUCCCAUUUUCUCUACUAAAUAAUCAAACAGGCCUGACAAAAAAUAUAAGUUACAAGUUAGCAAGUGGCCAUGUUCAACAAUACUGUAAGCUAAAUUGCUAGGAUACUUGAUUAGGAAACAAGAAGAAUUAAUUAAGAGAAGUGUGUUGUGACCUCUGUAUGUUGAUUUGAAUUUUCAAAAACACAGUACAGUAUGUUGAAUGAAUGAAGGGGUGAGGUCAAAUGGUGAAUAACUAGUAGAGUAAUAUUUAACUGCAUUAUAUAAUAUUUGUUAAUAAUAGAGUUAAGAGCAUAGCACAGCACAUGAGACAAUUUGUUAAAAAAACAAAACAAAACAAAAGGAGGUCAGAGGAGUAACUGAACUAAGUGGGCAUGAUGACGGUAUGGACGUAUGGUAUCUCAAAAAUUAUAAUUGUUGAGAGUUGAAGCAACACCAGGUAGUAGCUAAUAAUCAAUCCUAAUUCCUACAUACAUACAACUAUACAAGAUACAACUAACAGUGCAGACAGGCUAAUUACAGAGGAGCAAACUGAAAUGUGACUGAGUGUAGACAUUUUAUAGGUAGAGUUGUAUUACCUCUUCUACGGAAGUACUCAAAUAAAAAAGAUUGUUCAAUCAUUCAUUCAAAAUAAAAGUUUUCCAUCAAAUUAACAAACAACUCCUAUUUCUUCAUACCAAAUGUGUAGCAACAGCAACAGCAACAUCAGAAGCAAAUAAUCCAUCAAU
RNAcentral lists this long non-coding RNA (1054 nucleotides) under Aquilegia coerulea. RNAcentral's name for it is "long non-coding RNA (ACOE_LNC001334)". The record is from RNAcentral. Lineage: Eukaryota; Viridiplantae; Streptophyta; Magnoliopsida; Ranunculales; Ranunculaceae.